RNAcentral lists this ribosomal RNA (1199 nucleotides) under Chaetopsis fulvifrons. RNAcentral describes it as "partial 16S ribosomal RNA". Lineage: Eukaryota; Metazoa; Arthropoda; Insecta; Diptera; Ulidiidae. The record is from RNAcentral.
UCAAUAUAAAUUGAUAGAAUUUGUUUAUUAAAUUUAUUUUGGUUUGUUUAAUGUAUUAAAAAUAAUUAUAUGGGUUAUAGUUUAAGUAGUGUUUAACGAACAAAUAAUUUUUAUUAUAGUUUAUUAGUAUUGUGAAAGAAUACUGAAAUAACUUGAAAAAUACUUAUUUUAAAAGAAAAUUUAGUUUGUUGUACCUUGUGUAUCAGGGUUUAUUAAUUAAAUAAUAAUUAUUUAUUUUUCUCGAUUUUAUAAGAGUUAAUUAUUUAUUGAAGUUAAUGUGUCAAAAUUAUUUCGAAUAGGUGAUUAGAAAUGAAAUGUUAUUCGUUUAUAAAGGUAUCUAGUUUUUUUAGAAAUAAAUUUAAUUUAGUAACUUUUAAUUUUUUAAUUUUUUGUUUAAUUAAAAAUUUUAUUAGUUAUAAUGUUUUUAGGGAUGAGCUUAAAAACAAAUAUUUAUAAGGUUUGAAUUUUUGACUAAAUGUAUGUAUAGAAUUUGCAAUCAUUAAUAAGUUUGUUAUAAAUUAUUGUUAAUAAUUUAUUAUUUAUUUUUCUUUAAAUUUUUAUAAAAAUAUUUAUUUUAAUUUUUUAAAUAAAUUAAUAAUGAUAAAAUUAGUAUAUUUGAUUGUUUAGGUAAAUUAAGUUGAUAAGUUUAUGUAAAGAAUUCGGCAAAAUUGUGUAUUCGCCUGUUUAACAAAAACAUGUCUUUUUGAGGUUAAAUUUAAAGUCUGGCCUGCCCAAUGAAUUUUUUGAAUGGCCGCAGUAUACUAACUGUGCAAAGGUAGCAUAAUCAUUAGUCUUUUAAUUGAAGGCUGGUAUGAAUGGUUGGACGAAAUAUAGACUGUUUCAUUUAAAUUUAUUAUAGAAUUUUAUAUUUUAGUUAAAAAGCUAAAAUUUUGUUAAAAGACGAGAAGACCCUAUAAAUCUUUAUACCUGUUUUUAUUUAAAUUUUAUAGAUUUGUUUUGUUUUUAUAUAAAAGGGUAUUUUAUUGGGGUGAUAUUAAAAUUUGAUAAACUUUUAAUUUAAAGUUCAUUGAUGUAUGAUUAAUUGAUCCAUUAAUAGUGAUUAAAAGUUUAAGUUACUUUAGGGAUAACAGCGUAAUUUUUUUGGAGAGUUCAUAUCGAUAAAAAAGAUUGCGACCUCGAUGUUGGAUUAAGAUAUAAUUUUAGGUGUAGCCGCUUAAACUUUAAGUCUGUUCGACUUU